Long non-coding RNA from Hemicordylus capensis (graceful crag lizard), 1518 nucleotides. RefSeq lists it as uncharacterized. The transcript is spliced from 2 exons. The record is from RefSeq and is a predicted model, not a curated record. Lineage: Eukaryota; Metazoa; Chordata; Lepidosauria; Squamata; Cordylidae.
UUUUAGGUGGUGAAUCCCAGCUGGUUAAGGUAAGCAGAGGCAAUUGCCAUCAGGUCUUAGCAGUGCUAUGCAAUGUGUUCCUGUUCAUUCCUUGUUGUCGUUUUGUGUUGUGUGUGUUUCUUUUAGGUGGCAAAUCCGAGCUGGGUAAGGUAAGCAGAGGCGAUUUUGCCAUCAGGUCUUCCCAGUGCUAUGCAAUGAGUUCCUUUUCAUUCUUCUUGUGUAUGUGUGUGUUUGUUUUAGGUGGCAAAUCCCAGCUGCUUAAGGUAAGCAGAUGCAAUUGCCAUCAGGUCUUGCCUGUGCUAUGCAGUGUGUUCCUUUUCAUUGGGGGUGUUGUUGGGCCUCGUGGGGUGCAAGGUCUCCAUCUGAUUGAUUCUAGCCCUGUUUAGGGGUGCCAGUCGCUCUGGCCUCAUAACUCCUGAGGUCUUGGCAAUGUCCUAGGCUAAUGCCUCCACAGGCGUUCCUUUGCCUCUGUCACCUGCUGCAGACAUGACUUCCAAGAGCUGUCUGCCUCUUGACAGCUCUCAGCCGUCUGCCCCUCAUCACGGGCCAGGCCAUUUUAUAUAACCCUGAAAUCUCACGGCAACUCUCAUGAGACCUGGCGAUCUCACUAGUGAUCUCGCGAGAGUUUGGAGUGUGAUCUUGCAACAUGCUAACAACGUCCCACGAGACCACGGCAGUGUCGGGUGACACUAGGUUACCCGACCACGGGAGCCAGUAGGGCCUGCCGGUCUCAGCAGGUGGGGGUUGGGACCCGUCUGAGGGCGCAGCAUUCCCGCCCUGGUUGGGAACGUUCCCACCGGAACCCUCUGGACAUGGGAGGUGGGGGCUAGAGAUAUUGGGACCCUGACAGGUGUGUACGAAUGGUUCAAUAGUAAACUGGUCUGCUGCGAACCAGGCUGGUUCGAUGGUUUGAUCGUGAACCAGACAGGCCUUCAGGAAAGGUGGUCCAGUCCAAGAUCAAGCCAAAUCAGCCCUGACCAGCAGCGCCACAAUGCUGGUCAGGAAGCCACACUGCUGGUCAGGGAUCAGGACAUGGCUCCCAUGUAGCCGUCCUCUGUGAGAAGUGGCUACAUGCAUGGGAUGGCCAAUGGGGUCUGUGUGGUACUGCUGCUUCUUAUGCAGCACACAUGCUUCCCUCCUCCGAACUUUGCAGGCUUUGCGACUCCCGCCCACCCUCCCUAGUUCAGUGAGAGAUUAGCUGGUCGCUUAUGGGCCGAGUAGGAAUUUUUGGUCUUCACCUGAUUGGCUUUGCGUGAAGAUUUUUUCGCCUACUCCUCACUGACUGUCUUUUAAAGGGAGUAGCCCCCUUUUUAGGGGUGGGAGUCUGGUUGCAGGUUAAGUGGUCACUUUGUCAGGUGAGUGUGGGCUUUGGAGGUUAAGACCUCAAUUGGUGCUCAGCCAUAGGUACCUUUCAGGUAGAGAUGGUUUCAUGUAACAACCUUUCAGGGUUUUGUGGACCAGGGGUGUCUGAGGUGGCCAGAGCCUAAGGGGUAUACUCAUGGGUCAAAUGGGCCGUAA